UGGGGAAUAUUGCACAAUGGGCGCAAGCCUGAUGCAGCCAUGCCGCGUGUAUGAAGAAGGCCUUCGGGUUGUAAAGCACUUUCAGCGGGGAGGAAGGCGUUAAGGUUAAUAACCUUGGCGAUUGACGUUACCCGCAGAAGAAGCACCGGCUAACUCCGUGCCAGCAGCCGCGGUAAUACGGAGGGUGCAAGCGUUAAUCGGAAUUACUGGGCGUAAAGCGCACGCAGGCGGUUUGUUAAGUCAGAUGUGAAAUCCCCGGGCUCAACCUGGGAACUGCAUCUGAUACUGGCAAGCUUGAGUCUCGUAGAGGGGGGUAGAAUUCCAGGUGUAGCGGUGAAAUGCGUAGAGAUGUGGAGGAAUACCGGUGGCGAAGGCGGCCCCCUGGACAAAGACUGACGCUCAGGUGCGAAAGCGUGGGGAGCAAACAGG
Molecule: ribosomal RNA, 429 nt
Filed under: Chloroflexota bacterium
Lineage: Bacteria; Bacillati; Chloroflexota
Description: Chloroflexi bacterium partial 16S ribosomal RNA
Rfam family: Bacterial small subunit ribosomal RNA
Source: RNAcentral